Molecule: microRNA precursor, 70 nt
Filed under: Mustela putorius furo (domestic ferret)
Lineage: Eukaryota; Metazoa; Chordata; Mammalia; Carnivora; Mustelidae
Description: miRNA (ENSMPUG00000022027.1)
Rfam family: tRNA (bases 1-58)
About the family: Transfer RNA (tRNA) molecules are approximately 80 nucleotides in length. Their secondary structure includes four short double-helical elements and three loops (D, anti-codon, and T loops).
Source: RNAcentral
UGGUUAAAGCGCCUGUCCUGUAAACAGGAGAUCCUGGGUUCGACUCCCAGUGGGGCCUAGGCUUUUCCUC